CUGGCGGCGUGCCUAUACAUGCAGUCGAGCGAAGAGAUGGGAGCUUGCUCCCUGAUCUUAGCGGCGGACGGGUGAGUAACACGUGGGCAACCUGCCCUGCAGACUGGGAUAACUCCGGGAAACCGGAGCUAAUACCGGGUAAUACAUCGCACCGCAUGGUGCAAUGUUGAAAGUUGGCCUUUGGCUAACACUGCAGGAUGGGCCCGCGGCGCAUUAGCUAGUUGGUAAGGUAACGGCUUACCAAGGCGACGAUGCGUAGCCGACCUGAGAGGGUGAUCGGCCACACUGGGACUGAGACACGGCCCAGACUCCUACGGGAGGCAGCAGUAGGGAAUCUUCCGCAAUGGACGAAAGUCUGACGGAGCAACGCCGCGUGAGUGACGAAGGCCUUCGGGUCGUAAAGCUCUGUUGUUAGGGAAGAACAAGUACCGUUCGAAUAGGGCGGUACCUUGACGGUACCUAACCAGAAAGCCACGGCUAACUACGUGCCAGCAGCCGCGGUAAUACGUAGGUGGCAAGCGUUGUCCGGAAUUAUUGGGCGUAAAGCGCGCGCAGGCGGUCUUUUAAGUCUGAUGUGAAAGCCCACGGCUCAACCGUGGAGGGUCAUUGGAAACUGGAGGACUUGAGUGCAGAAGAGGAGAGUGGAAUUCCACGUGUAGCGGUGAAAUGCGUAGAUAUGUGGAGGAACACCAGUGGCGAAGGCGGCUCUCUGGUCUGUAACUGACGCUGAGGCGCGAAAGCGUGGGGAGCAAACAGGAUUAGAUACCCUGGUAGUCCACGCCGUAAACGAUGAGUGCUAGGUGUUGGGGGGUUCCACCCUCAGUGCUGAAGUUAACACAUUAAGCACUCCGCCUGGGGAGUACGACCGCAAGGUUGAAACUCAAAGGAAUUGACGGGGGCCCGCACAAGCAGUGGGAG
This 918-nucleotide ribosomal RNA is filed under the name Bacillus sp. B1(2011b). Its description in RNAcentral is "bacterial SSU rRNA". It matches the Rfam family "Bacterial small subunit ribosomal RNA", at positions 36 to 938 of the family's 1533-position model. The record is from RNAcentral. Lineage: Bacteria; Bacillati; Bacillota; Bacilli; Caryophanales; Bacillaceae.